Non-coding RNA from Xyrichtys novacula (pearly razorfish), 16206 nucleotides. Lineage: Eukaryota; Metazoa; Chordata; Actinopteri; Labriformes; Labridae. The record is from the annotation of a GenBank genome assembly.
GGUUAGGGGUGAAAUUGAGGUUUUAGAUAACUUAAUAAAUCCAGUGGAGGAUUAGAACCACACAAGGUUGUAAUAUCAUAAGUAAAAGUCCAAAUAUUAGUCAUAAGCCAAGAUUAGUAUGAAAAAGGAAUAAAUUUACAAGGAAAGUUGUAAAUUCACACGGGAAAACAUAACUUUGAAAGAAUAUAGUUGUUUAUCAGACUAAAGUUGUAGAUUAACAAUAUCUGAAUCAUUCAUUCACAAAAACAAAAGUCCUGAUCAUACAAGACUUAAUUUGUGAUAAGAAAGAGACAUAAUUGCUGGUAAUGGUUGACCUAUGUGUCAUUCUGUGUUAUUAAAAUGAGGAUAAUUAAGGAACGUAGACCAUCUUAUGAAGAUGCACUCAACAGCUGAGGACAGCUGUUAUAAAAGCAUACUACCUCUAAUUAGAACAAAACUCAGUUUUUCUCUGCAGAAUUCUGAGUCGUGUGUUGGUGAAAUGCUUAAAAGUUAAAAUAUUCACUUAUGUACAAAUGCUAUAUUAAAGUACAACCUCACAAGAUUCUCCAAGUUCGUCUUUAAAUUCAGCUGGCUGCUCCUAUGAUUGUUCCUUCAUAAUAAUGUACAUGCCAUAACCUCAAAUUCCAAUUUAAACUUCUUUAUUUUAUCUUUGUGACUUUAUGACUUGAUCCUCAUAUAUAAACAACCAUCGUGUUGAAACUUCAAUUUCCUUUCUUCUAUAACAUGACCCUCUGCUGUCGCUCUGGUGUUAUUAAAAACUUGCAAAUAUUCAGGUAAAUAUUCAGCUUUCAUAUAUUUCAAUUGGCGUUGCCUGUUGGAAGUAACUCCACCUUGGGCAUCUGCUUCAGGUGGUAAUUUGAGUCCGGUAUGUUAUAAGAGUACUGGAAAGUAAGCUGGUUAAGAUUGACUAUUUUUCCAAAGUAGUGCUGCUCAUAUGGCAAUAGGGAUAAAUAGUCAAUUAAUCUUGACAGGGUCUUGAAAGGUUAGGAAUAACACUGUAAACUUGAAAAUUAUAGCUAAAUGGUGAAAAUGUAAGUAGAUUUGUGAUGGUGUUGAAGUCCAGCUGUUUGAAUGGGAGAAACGGAAACAUUACGAAGGAGAAUCAAUGUGUUAAUUAACAUCUAUCCUUAUAAGAAAUUUGGGGUCCAUUCUAAGUUAUUUGGGUGUUUGGUAGCUCAGCAAACACAGAUGUUAGUUUCACUUUGUACUCGUCAGACUCGCACAGUUUUCUUUCCACAAUCAGGUUACACUCCAGACCAAAGGAGACUGGACCUUAUUCAGCUACAGAAGGAGCCUGGGUCCAUUUCCGGCUUGGAUAUGUUUAUUCAGUUCUGGAGACUCUUUGGCUGUAAUCAGCUUGCAUAAAUCUCUUUGAUGAUAGCCCCUAGAACAUCUGCUGGAGCAAUAAAAAAAUCCAGGGAGGCAAUAAAAUGUCUGGCUGAACAUAUGCUAAUGGAAAUGUGAGUUGUUCUGAAAAGUUUGUCCUGAAGUAAUUGCCACAAUGUGACUGUGUAGUCUAUGAAUUCACAUAAUGAUCAUACUGAAUUUACCAAAGCUGAUGUUAUCGCUGUUUGUGCAGCGUGAUGAUCACCCCAUCCUUACCUAGUUGAGGAUUUUAGAGUUUCACUGCCCUUCGACAAGUCUUUUCCUUUCUUCCCGCCUGUCCUUAUAUCUCUCAUUCUAUACACCACCUUCAUACAGUCUGAAACACAGACAAGUUCACAGUGUACUGCAGGAUGGAUGACUGCAUGCUGUUAACCUCUGUUUGAAAAAUCAGGGCUGAAAGGCACAGGGAUUUAUCACAGGUGUGUGUGUGUUUAUGUGUGUUUGUGUGUGUUAUGGACUGUUGUGUCUGUAUCCCAUCAGUGUUGGACAAAUUACAUGAUAGAUAUAAUCACCUUCUUUGAACAUGACACGCUUUGAAAUGUAACAUAAUGACUCACCAAACAGGGUUACUUAUUAGCAUCAUUAGUUUAAAGUCAUCUGCCGCACUGGUGGACUAAAGGGGGAAAUCUGACUCCUGCUCACUGCAGAGUUGAUAGAACACCUUAAAUACCAUCUGUUUGCUUUCUUAGCCUGCUUUCUGAUGUUUGUAGAAACUUUUACAAACAGUGUAGUUCGAUAAGUUAUUGCAGAGUAUCCAAAAAAAAAAAAAAAAAUCAAAUCAUGGUUAUCACUUUAUUUGACACCUAUCUCCGUGACGCAUUAUAAAUAUAAGUAUAAUGCUUUGUAAUUAUGUUAUAGCACUGUAUAACUAUAGUUAUAAACACUCAUAAAUGAUCAUAAUGCUUUAUAGCAAUAAUCAUAACACAUUAUAAAGCAUUUUAUCAUGACUUAAUGCAAUGCAACCAUUGUUAACAGUUGUAACAGGAGGUCCUUUCUUCCAGCAGCCAUCAGACUGUUUAACAAAACUUGAGUUGAGGACCUGUGCACCUCAGCAUUAUAUAAAUAUACCACUGCUAGCGCUACUGCAUUUAUUGUACUUUUUAUACUGGUUUUAACUGAUUUUACCCCAUUUGGCUGGUCUGCAGAGGUUGUUGUUGUUGUUGUUGUCUUUGUUAGUGUACUGUGUAUGAGUCUGUGAGUGGCACGACCACUCAAUUUCCCAACUGGGAUUAAUAAAGUACCUACCUACCAACCUACCUAUCUACCUACCUACAACACAUUAUAAUACCUGACCUUGUAAGUCAUGAUAAAAUGCUUUAUAAUUUGUUAUGAUUAUUCAUGAUGCAUUAUAGAGAUAGGUGUCACAUAAAUAGAUACCAAGUCUUCUCCUGUGAUGUGAAAGUCCUCAAGAAAGUUUUAGAAACUAAUGUAUGAAAAAGGCUUUGAAAACUAAAAACAUCACUACAUAAUGUAAACAUGUGACACUUUUUGUUUAAAGCCCCUGUGAUUACUUUUUUUUUUACUUGUAUAAAGUUGACUCAAGUCACACUGAAGUUGUUAUAUGAUUUACAGAAGCAAUCAAGACCAUCAGGAACAAGAUUGAUCAGUUUUACAUCCUAUUUUUAUUAUGCCUGAAACUGGUGCCAAUCAAGCAGCUAGAAAGAAACACCCACAAGAGAUGAAACUUUUGAGUGUCAAAGUCAGUAAGAUCAAUUAUUUUGUUAGAGGACAAAAGGGGGCGCCAAUGUCAACACCAACUAAAAGUUCCUUAAAGUAGCUUUAAUAUGAUAGGAACCACACAGAUAAACCCUUUGUGGUUCUCAUUAAGCUUGAGGUUACCAGGACAGGUAAGUCAAACAUUAUGACACAGCCUAGGCAGUUUAGUGUUUAAAACUUCCCCCAAUCUGCCUGAGUGUCCUCUGCAUCUCUGCACAAACCAAAACUGCAGUUAAAGCAAAAUCUUGUUCUCUGUCCGCUACAGAAAAAAAAACAGGGGCAUUCAUAUUUAGAGCCACUUACGUUGUGACAAACGUGACUUUGGGUCAAGGGUUCAGAGCCUGCAAACAAGUGUGCAUUUGACUCUUGGAGCUCAACAAGGGUAUAACUCAGCGCAAACAUGUUUGUAGUCGCAGUACAUAUGCCAGAGUGAAAGAACUGCCACUACUGUUACAAAUGAGGCAGCCGCAGAUAUACUCUGCUGUGACUGAAGAAGUAAAACUGUAAAAGACAUUUGUCAUUCUAAGACAAGGUUGAGAGGGUAUGCAUCUACAUCGAUUUUGCAACUGAGAAAGCUGUUCCCAAAUCAUCCCGCACUCCCAUCAUGUGUCAGGCUGAGUUAAUUGUUUGAGAGUGCUGAGGAUGGGUGUCUGUGACUGGAUCAUUGAUCCGUUUUGUGGGUGUGAAAACCACCCACAGAGCAAGGGGUAGAUGUGACUCCAGAAAGCAUGUACAAUACUGUAAUUUCCCUCUUCUGUGAGCCAUGGUGGGACACACAGAGCAGAGGAAUUUCUGCCGUGUCGCAGCAAGAGCCCCGCGGAGGGCUGAGGAACAAUUUCUUGCUUUCAAUUUCAGAGUGCUCUAAAGGGAAUUGUGAAUGCAUCUUCAUACAAGUACUCCUCAAAAUGAAAUAAAAGAAGACGCUUGUUCCACUGUUAGCUAAUCCAACAGAAUUCGAGGUUCACGCUAACGUGGCGUAUGAAUUCUGGGAUGUUUUUCUGUCCCAUGUGAAUUAUUUAUUGGCUUUGUAUUUCACAAACACAAUGCAAUAACCUCCCACGACACAGGGCAGCUUCUCAAUGCGCAGGAUUUUUUGUUUUUUUUUUGCUGAACAACAUUUUCUGAAUUCAUCAAAGAGCAUAGCUGCAGCGUUGUGUUAGUGUGCCCUGGCUCAAACAGGAUAGUUUUGCUUCCAUGUGUUUAAUGUCUCCGACACAGCAGGCUCCCACAGUGCCUUUGGAGAGGGCUGUAGAGAGAGAGAGGGGGAGUGUGUGUUUACUUUUGUGUUUGUGUGAGAGACAGCAGCAGCAAAAACAAAAGUACUGGGGGAGUUUGGUGCUUUCGUGCUCGGGCUUGUGUGUGAAUGGAGAAAGACGUGGGCAGAUAAGUAAUGGUAUGUUUGGAGAGAGUGUAUGAUGUACACCGGUGAGCUGUGGCUGGGUUUUCCCAUUUUCGCUAUAGUGGAUGGUAUUGGGGGAGAAGGAGGAGAGACUUUAGGUUACUCAGUGACACUUGACGGUGUGCUAGGCAGCCUCCCAGGAUGAUGUCCUGGUGCCAGCUUUUGUAGUCAAACAGCACGAGGACUGCGUGUACCGAAACACCGAAAAAUUACCCAUGUGAUCUGCCAAUUGACAGAACAAUUUUCUUUGGGCAUGUUCAUCUUUUUCAGCCUCUUUCAGUUAUUUUAGCCCAGUGAGCUAUCUCUUCUGCAUGGAUUUCUCCUACAAGCGACUCCACAGGUGCUCACAAAUCCCCUUUCAGUACCAUAAAUGCUUCUUUUUUUAUUCCUCUUUGGAGGCUGAUGUUGUGUCUGUUAUCUGCAGUGACAUAUGUGCUCUGCCAUCCUACACACCACCAUUUAAAAUUUCCACUAAUGCUGUUUCGCUCAAGGGGUUUCACACAUUUAUUCCAACUUCCCCAGCCUGCAUGUUUUUAUUUUAUCGCUUUAUUUUUUUAAUUUCUGUUUGUUCGUGUGUUUGAAAGAGGCAGUAUGUGUGUCUAUGCAUGCAUAUUUGAGCUCCAUUCCUCUGCAUGCCAGUCUCAAGGCCACAUCAUUAGAGUAAGAGGGCUGUAAUUAGUGAGUCCAUGCAUAUUAAACAGCAACCCUGCAUCUCCAGACCAGACAGCCUUGAAAAAAAAACAGCACUCCACUGUCACUUGCAGCCAAUAAGCCACAGUAAAUGCCCAGAGGGUUUGAAAUGUUACAGACAGAGCACUGAGGGUGAUUAGUUACCAGCAUCAGUCUGCUUCUAUUCUUCUGGCAGUCCUUCACAUUUGAUUGUGGGAUGUUGAAUAUGUGAUUUUACUGGAUGAAGAUUGAAGAGGAAGAAGAAGGUCCAGUGAUAGAUCAUAUUAAAGUAACACUUGGAGACACAGUACCUGAUUUAGGGCCGUCACUAUGUCAGAUUUUCACCUUACAGUUAUCAUAGCCAUAAAAUACUUGGUUAACAAUCUUGCAAUAUUCGUGGAAAAGUUGAAAACAGAAUAACACAAUCAGUCAGAUUGAGAAAAAGCAAGACAGAGUGGAGUAACAUGGUAUCACCACAGUGCUAAAAAUAUCGAAUGAUUGGGUUUGCCUGACCAAAACUGGACUUAAAAAAACAAAGGCAAGUUUGUUUUUCUAACGAAGUCACUUUCAUCAAAGUAAGACUUACGCUCUAUACUGUCUGACAUUGUAACCCUGAUCAGGGAAAUAGUUCUCUUAAAUGUACCACUAAACCCAAACUGGUCCAAGCGUUCUGCAGAUACUCCAAAGUCCCCAUGUUGGACUUUGACAAUAUGAUCAGUUAGCUUCUUGAUAACUUGUUGAUCCACUGUUUUGGUAUUCACGGUAUCAGAUCAGCCGGAAAAGAUCUAGUAACUGGCCAAUAGAGGGCAAUGAACCAUUUCUGGCCAACAGCAUGUAUACUGGGACAAGGAGAACAGCCAAGUUAUGCAUGAAAUACACUAAAUAAGAAAUUUGAGAUCAGAAACAGAGAUACCACAACUGAAGCAAACGCCAGAGGCUGUGUCUGGUUACACUCAACAGAAUAAAGAUGAAAUAAGGAGGAUCCACCUCCAACUUGAGGCAUUUCGAACAACAAGGUGGGCAAUGCCAGGUAGAAAAAAAUGACUCUAUAUAUGGGAUAAAUUAAAGUCAAAGAUGGGCCAUAAAGGGCCCUUCUGUUUCAGAGUCUCUAUCCAGAUUUCCUUCUCCAGGUUUAUUAUCUUCGCAGAGCUUUGUGUUGAGCAAAACAGCCACACAAUCAAACUUGACUUAUUGGGGCCAAAGGAUCUAGAGUGGAGGGAGAGUAAUUUUUACACAUGUGGAGUCAUAUAACACAUGCAUGCACAAACACAAACGUCACUUGAGCUCAUUUUGGUUGUGUAAAGAGCGUAAAAAAAUAGACAUGCCAAAUAGUGCAACAGCGUCAGUAUUGAUGGGUUUUUGAAAGAUGGGUUAAGUCGUUAAGUACAAAAUUGUAUUUUUGUUAUGCUUGCUCUCAGUAAAAUGGGCCAAUGCAAUCACAGCUGUCCUGUGUGGACAACCACAAUCACAACAACAUCUUGUUAUGCCUUGUGGAUAUAUUUUGGAAUCUAUACCAUUGAUAGUUAAAGACAAAGAUAGGGCUGAAUGUUGACUUAGCACAAAUGUGCUGCCUCAUCAAAUCUACAGGCUCAACUUUGAGGAGGUGAGAUUGUCAAGAUGUGCAACAUUGGCAGGUUUUACUGUAAAUAUAAAGAGAGCUGCACUUGAUCCUGAUUAAGACGAUAGAUUUGUGUUUUUGACGAAUAUUACUACAAAAGAAGUAGUCAGACUCUGCAGAUUGCCAGUCACUGUUGGUUUAAUGCAAACAUGGUCACAGUUAAAAGUUAAAAGUUUCAUGAAACUGACAUGACAUGCACCUGAACUUGAGGUGCAGCUUAUUGAAUGAAUAGAUUGUUAAGUUGGAACAAAAUGUGUCCUUAACUUUUUAAAAUCGGAUUGGAAGUGACUGUUUUUGAACGUUUGAAUGUGUCAAUAAACCAUUUGAAUUGGCAGUCUUGGUCAAACGCCACACAUCCUGGGUCAUAAUGAAGACUGAGGCUGGAGCUGCAUGCUUAACAUAUGAAAUGAAUGUCCUUGUGACUAAAUUUCAAACUGUGGCCCUCCUCCCUCGCUGUCUUCUAGCUGUUUUCUUGUAAGACACACAGAGAGAUGCACUGGGAAACACAAAGGCUCAGCAGAGGGACUUAUCCAGAGCGUAAAUGUAAAGCUUUCCAUGGUGACUCACUGCUGUCCUUUGAGUAGGAAUGCAACAAAAGCCACACAUAGAAGAUAUCAAACCGCACAGAAAAAUGGCAGCACUGUAAUUUAAUGUCUAAAAACUAAUCAAUAGCAUAAAUGGAUUACACUGUGACCGAAGAGAUGGAUGAUGCUUGUAAUUAAUAAAGAAUUUAAAUUUGCUUCUAUUGGUGACAUCCUGUCGUAAAGACAGCAUUUACAAACUCAAUAAAUCAUGUAGCCACAACCCUCGCUAAAACCACAAUCAAAUUAAAGACAACAAAGCGGCCGCAGCAGGCUGUAGUGAUCUGGACACUUAUUUUUACGGGAGUUUUGAGAUAAACAGGUAAUUCACUGUUUAUGACAACCUUUUUGUAGCAGAAAAUUAUGAAUUUCUGUACCUUUAGAUGCUCCUGUAAUUGACUAAGUAAUAGACGUCAUCAUUCAACACAGUAACAGCAUCUAGCAAUAUUCUCUCAACACACUUAAACUUUAUCACCACUUAGUAUAAUCACCACUAAUCUAAUGUCCCAAGGCACGUAUGUUAUUUUCAGGGGCUGGCAAAAAGAAUAAAUAUAAUUACACUCACCAUUUAAAUGCUGAUUAUUCUCUGGAAUCAUAAUGAACGCAUCUAGCGAUUGCUCCAUUACACAAUGACCCUCUACUCGGGAAAAAUAAGUAAUUUUUGGGAGUAUUAAUUGUGAGUUGUGAAUGUAUUUUGUGAGCCUGUAAUGAGCUCGUUGGUGAUAUUGUUCACACUUAACUGAUUUUUAAUUAAAUUCAGCUUCACAGAAAAUUCAACAGCCAUGAAAUUGCCAUACAUGUUUUGCUGUGCUCUGGAAAUAUGGGUUUAUUGGUUUAAACUUAGUGUGAAGGCAAAAGGAGCGUGUCUGCAAUUACUAUUUAAGUGACCUGCCUUAGCAGGUUAAGAAUAUGCUAAUGCUAAAGGGGGAGUGUUAUAAUGCAUUUGUUUUUUUUUGACUCUAUAUUUCAUUUCUGACAUCAUUUCAAUAGCUUUACGUGACUUUCAGGUAAAAGAAAAAGCCUCAAAUUUGUCACAGUGGUAUAUUAAAAUAUCGUUAUUUCAACCUCUAUUCAGUCUAGCUGCUGUCUCUUUAAGGCCCGCCCUUCCACAAGCCUACUUUCUUCUGAUUGGCCACCUCUCAAGAGGAUUUAAGCCAGCUGAGGGCAGAGCUUGCUAUUGUGGUUGAUCAGUUGAGCAACAUUACUAGUAUAGGAUCGGUAUAUUAUGUCUAUGGUUACCCUGCUCCACUGUGGAUGUCACUUAACACGCUGAUGGAGGCAGGCCAUUAUGCUUUGCCAGAAGCACAUGAACUAGUAAGGAGAGUCUAUAACUUUUACGUCAGAAUUUAGUACAUCUUGCACAUAAACUACAGUCUUGCAUUUUAGCGCAUUUGUCCGAGAUUCAAGCAGUUUACAUCUACUUUCUCAGAUUAUGACAAAAUACGUUAACCUUGUGAUAUGAAACUUUGCAUACAUAUAGUAUGGAUACCAAACUUUGUAACUUUGCUGUUUUUCUUGUAAAUGAGGAAAAGCAUAAUACCCCCUUUAAGAUGUGCUGAACUCUUAUGAUGCACCACCUGAAUAGAAACGCUCAGACCCCCGUUUGCAUUUUAGCUCAACUAAGCAUCUUUGAACUUCGCCUAACCCUUAUUUGUCUUACUCUCAUAUCCCUCUUGGCAAUGUCUUUAUCCCUCAUGAGACUGGGCUGCUAAGAUGCUCUGUGUCCCCCUUGCUAAGCAAAAAAAACGGGACAAAAUUAGCAACUAGCUAGUGAGGACUUUGUAGCAUUACCAAAAAACAAGCUCAAUAAGAGUACAAGGAGCUGAAAGAAAAAUAAUUCAGGAGAAUUAGCCUGAAAACCCCCCUGUGCUACCAAUAAAAACAGGCAAAGCACUGAUAGAAUGAUGGUGAAUGGGAGAGAAAGAAGAGAAAAUGAUACUUUAAGCGCACAACCUCCCAGUCUGUCCUUUCCCAUCCCUGGUGAUAAAGAGCUGCUGAAAUUCUGUUGGUCAGCUGUGACCCUCAUGAUACAGUUUCUGGGUCCCAUGGGCCGCUGUCUUUGCUUUGGUGCAGCUCCCAGAGAAACACAUGCUGUACAGGCACAACAUUCACAGCAAUAAAGGUCAAAGAAAAAGUAGUCUGAAAUGGAGCUUUACCUUCCUUCACCUCUUCCUCCUUCUUCAGAUCACCUUUCUUCUUCAGUCUUCAUUAAUUCCUACCUCGUACUGUAACGCUGUUCUGGGUCAACGCAGGUAAUGGGGGUCACCAGUGUUGAAACGGAUGUGGGGUAGAAUUGCUGGGAAAGAAUAACAAAAGAGAAGUUCAAUUGAUUUGUCUUGCAAGUUGUAAAGCAAAUUGCUUUUGAGGAGAGGAAUGCGGCAAGCUCAGCCUCAGACAUUCAGAUCAGAUGGGGAAAAAUCCUCACUUUUUAAUUAGACACUUUGACAAGGAUGAGGGUGUGACAAAUUUUAACUAAGGUCUUAUCCAAGGUUAUGAAAUUUGAUACGGAUAUUAAACUCCACAGAGGAUCCAAACCCCAAAUAUCACAGACAUUUGGAAAAGCCUAGCGAGUUUGCUUGAUCUCAUGUAAUUGCGGAGCAUAAAUUAUGCAUAGAGAACAACGCUGCAUGGUGGGUUACAACUGGUGAUGAUUGUCCUUUGGAGACAGUGUUAAUAUCACAAGACAUCAUUUAUCGCCCACAGUGUGCAUGAUAAAUAGGUCAACCCCAACAGCAAGGAACACACUGCCAUGGGAAAAUAAACAUAAACCAUCAGACAUGAUAGUACUUGCAGGCUGCGUCAUGUGUGCUCUGAAACUGCUGGACAAGUCCACCCCACCACAUUUCCGCCAAUCCUGGUAAAUGGACAAUGUUCAAAGGCUGACCUUGUGGACCCGGCUGUCUUUGGUUUUUAGGCUUCCCUUUUAUUCAUGGGUCUAAUUGCUUGCUUCUGUUCCUCCCGGGAAAUGAAAUGUUUGAACUUCUCGGCCAAAGCCGUGAUGUUGAUCAGGGCAAGCCUGGUUCAGCGGAAAAAAAAAACAGAAAAAAGAGAAGAAAGAAUGAAGAAAGGAGCAACGACUUGUGACACAAUCAUUACCCUUGGGCUUUUCUUUCUUAGAAGGCUCGCUUCUGAACCGCAAACUCAGCUUUCUGCGGUUCUUCUUAAUUAAAUGCUAUCAAAUCAAUGCACACAUGAUCACUAAUCAAAUUGGCAAUGGAAAAAAGUCUUUGUUGCAUAGUCUGGCCUCAAACUGAGAUAGCCUUCUAAAUAAUUAAUGUUUAAUUGCAUAAGGUACAUCAAAAAGGAAACAGCCAUCCCUUGUGUAUCAUAUAUCAGUUAUAAGUGAUAAAAUAAAGGACCAAAUGAAAAGAGAAGAUCAAAUAAUUAGAUGAGAAAAUCAAUCAAGAAGGCUUUAAUCAUAUCAGAGAUCGUUUCUGUAACUGCUGCCUGUAUUUCUUUUUAAAUGUGAAAGUAAUGAAGCUGCUGAUUUCCCUCAGCUGUUCAAUCUUAUGGCCCAUGUAGGUUAUUACUCCCAAAGCUAAAGCCUGAGCUACUGGUCUACGAGAAGGCCCUUUGCCACGUGACAACCCUUCCUCCAGAAAACCAGACCUUAUCUGUGGGACCAGGAAUCUUUGCUCACUAGAUCAAUGAGAUGUCCGGUAUAAUUCAGUAUUAAAAUCAGUUUUAUUUGCAUUUAUGGCUUUAGUUUUGAUUUGAACAGAACAUUUGAAUUGUGUUUUUGACUUCUUACUACUGUUAGUUUGGGUAAGCUUAUGAAAACUGACUAAAAACCUCCAGUGACAAAGUGCAGAGUGGAUUUGAGAUCUCCCAGAUCAGAGCAGCUCUUGCUCUAUUGAGCUUCUGGGACUGAUGGGCCUCAACUUGUAUGAGAUGUCCUGGUAUGUCAUUUCAGGGGCCAAAGGAGGAGGUUGGAGUUUGUGUUUGAAGUGAGGUGAGAACCAGGUGAGUGACUGCUUAUCUAAAGUGGAAAGUAAGAACAGGAGGGAUGCAGAGGUGGAGGUUUGAAUUCAUAAGAGAGUCAGAAGAAGUGCACUUGAUUAGCAAUCCUGACCCUGAAGCUAAUAUAGCAUCACUUAAAGCCAGUGAGAGAUUGUGAUCAUGCACAUUAUAAAGACAGGGGAAUAAAAAAGUACUGCAGUUGGAGAUGGGACACAAAGCAAGAUCACUGGCAUUAAAGUCAAAAGAUGUGUUUUCCCAACUGUUGAGCCAAGUCCACUUCUGUUCACAGCUUUCAAACUGUGCUGCAUUUCAAGACUCAGAACAGAAGGGAUGAAGCAAAAAUCAAAGCUACGGAUAUUAAAAAGCAGCUAUGGCCUCCAAUAGUGAUGAGGAAUGGAUGUAGUUCAGUAAAAUCAAAUGUGUCUGGUUUUGCGUUUCAUUUUCAGACUCAUCUUGACUUCCAGCUGAGGCGGGCUCAAAUGUCACACUGUAACGAGCAAUUUCCACCACAUCCGGAGCGGCUAAGAAAAGACCGUAACCACUGAUCGUAACUGACUGUAACCAUUCAAGUCAAGUGUCUAUUUUACCAUCUUCUUUCCGUUCUGCUGCAGAUCGCUGUACUCCGCAGCUGAUCACAAGGUUUCUAUUUUUUCUGCAGGAGCAUGCCGGAUAAAUUCAGCACAGAUUAACUUGUGCUGGAAAGGAAGUCGGGCACACACACAAAAUAAAACAUUCAGCUUCUUUUCAAAAUAAAACACUCUGGGUUUCAGGCGGAUCGUUUUUCACACCAUGCAAACGGAGACAAGUGAAAGGUUCAUAGACAGCAAGUCUAGAAGUAGAUUUCCUUCUCUGGAAGGACACAAUCUACCGCUUAUAAGGUUAGCCUAUGUGGCUAAAGACAACUUAUUAUCACGCAAUUGCACGUGACUCGCGGGUUCUUGUGAGUUCUCGCAUUUCCUGCUGUCCGUAAUCUGCCACGAAAUCAACAAACUAACAAACGGAUCCAGUAAGAAUUGGCGUACAGUGAAAAUUGCCACCUUUCCAGAUUGGAGCCAUUCCAGAUGCGGUGGAAAUCUCGGGUAAGAUGCUUUAUUAGCGUCUGAACAAGUUUCUCCAAACCCACCAAAGGUUGUAAGAGACUUAUUUUGCAGUUGUAUGUGUUGAAACAUCUCAACAGACUUCUUGGUGUGGAAUAGGUUUGCUCGUGGAAGGAUUGGGUGACUUUGGCUGAAAACAGAUGUGGUAACGCGGUAGUACACACUAAUUUAUGUCUAUGAACAAGACAUGUUCAGACAUGUUGGUUUGGCGUUGCUGACAAGGACAGCAGUCGAUGGUGAAAUGUGUCAUUAAGACCAUCCAAGCAGUGGGCAUGAAUGAUUUAAAAGCCCAUUCAUAUUUGAGAUCAACACGUACAACUGCUGUGAAAUACUCAGAAAAAGGCUGUGCUGCUAAAUUCUAAGUGUUGUGUCUUUUUAAUGCAAUCAGUGUGAUACAUUUGUUGUACAGCCAGUUCUUCAUUAAGCUUUGGAAGAUGUGCAAUUAAUUUAUAAAAAGAAACUGUAACAAGCAGCUGUCGUGUGCAUAGUUAAAUCAGAAUAAAACAUUGUGCCGCAAAAAUCAUCUUACAUGAAUUCUAACAUGUAUUCAAUGUUCAAAGCAGGAAUAAUGAACAUUUAAUUGGUCCAUUUAUAACCGAAUGUUUUGCUAAUUUUGUUUAUUAACCGCUCUGUUGGUCGUGCCAUGUCAAUAUGAACUUCAUCAAAUUGUAAAUUGUUUUUAUAGACCGAAUUAAUCUGUUGUAAUUAACCACAGGGUAAUUAAUAAUGCGGCUGGCACGUUCAGCUCUGCAGAUAAAAGCAACAGUGUGCAAAUGUAAAACAGCAGCUGAAUGGAGGAAUUUAGGAAAUAGCUGCUAUUGCUCUGGAAAUGUCAGCAACUCUCAAGGAUAUGGAGAUGAGGCUUGACUGACAGGCGCAUCUCUGACUGACAAUCAAUGUUUGUGUACUUUGAACAGAGUGCCGUCGAUGUUUUCAGGGCUGCUUCAGAGGAUGUUCGUCUUCAUUUUCUCCCACAUUGUGAUGUUAAAAUUGCCACAUGCCAUCUGACUGGCAGCAAGAAAAGAAGAGAGGACCUUUCAUGACCUCCUCCAUCUGAACUGCUGCCUCUUCAGUGUUGAAGCCAUGUCUAGUACGUUAAGUGACUUUCUGGCGGAGCUCACGCCCAUCAGCUGGCCCACCCGUUGGCAGUGUGUAAAGACGAACACGUCUCCUACUUCUUCUUGGUUUUUAAAAGUUAACUCAAAAUACACAAGGCGACAAAGCUAUAGGUUUGAGCUGAUGGCGUCCAGGGAGAGCACGACUAACAAUGAAAUGACAUUUAAAAAGGAUGAUCAAAAUCUUUGACUUUUAUUAAAUUCACUUUUCUUAAAUGUUGUCAUCUUUGUGUUCCUCGACAAUAAAACAUAAACUUGUCUCAUGCUGGCAGCCGUGUCUGCUCUGCAGUGGGGAGUGCGUGUCUUUUGUGAACAUUUUGGCUGUAAAAACCGGCUCUUGUAAGCCAGAAUGUUACUACGAGGAGUCGUUUGGGAGGCGGAAGAUUCUUGCCAAGCCAAACGAUCCAGAUCACUUAUGUGUCAGUUGUGUCCUAGCCAGGAACAACUUACCACUGCUGCAAGCUUGUCAUACCUCAGUGCAUUUACAUGUUUAAAAAAAUAUUUAUUGCCCUCAUCCAAGUGAAACUAGAUUAAAAAAAAUAAUAAUAAUAACUAAACACAUUAGUUGGACCGAAAUAGCACUAAAUCAUACUUUCAUAAUUGGACUAACAUUCCUGGAUCAUGCAGUUUGGGGGUUGAUUUUGUCCUUCACGUUUACAGCUAAAUCUAAAAUUAACCAAGGUGUUCUGAGCAUGCAUCAGCGAGACACUGAAUGAAAUGAGUGUGUCUAGGAUGCCAGGUAGUAAGCCAGUCGUUCGAUGUACAUACUGUUAGCAAAAGGCUAACGGUUUGUUUUAUGAUUGUUUUGAUUCACAAUACAUCAAUUGGGAGACGACCAUAUAGUAAGAAGCAGAGAUGGGCUUGUCAUCACCUUCUGUAGUGGAGGUAGACAUGCUUCUGUUAAUAAUUUGUACAGUGCUUAUGAAGUCGGAUAAAGACAGUAGUCCAGUUAAACCAUUUAAUUGAGUUAUGACUGUAGUUCAACUUUACUGUGCAUGUUAACCCACCAAGUAUCAACAUAUAUACUUGAGUAGUUGUUUCUUUCUUAUCUUGGUGAAAGCUUAGUCUUUCUCUUUUACUGUUGCUCCCCCUGUCCCAUAAACAUCUUUUAACAUUGGGGUGGGCCAACUGGACCACUGACUUAUACAGGGGUAACGAAGAUUGUUAGCCCACAAAGUUGGGCAGAAUUUGAUGCUUAUAAGUCAUUUAUAUAACUAAAAACAAAAGUAACUGUUAUAUGAGUUUGGAUUAUUUGGUUUUUAAAAGACUGAGUCCCCCCCCCCUUAAAAUGGUUUAUAUUUACAAGUUCAUAUCAUAUGUAUUUCAAAUAAAUAUGACAAAGUGUCUUGUAAUCCACAUAUUCACAUGCAAACAAAACUGGAAUUCAUCCUUGAUAAUGCCUCCAUCUACUUUAAGGUCUGUGCGUAGGCCUACCUGCGGCUUGGCACCAGGAUGGGAUUGGUCCCAACUUUCUCUGUUUAUCUAAGUGCAGCCACUCAGUGUUUAAACAUUGCCUGUUUUUGCCCAUCACACUUCAACAGAGCUCACUAGUUGGACUGACAGAGGUUUACAAUCACUGCCUUCUACCCAGGCGGGCAGAAGACUCUCCUGAGGUAGCAAUCUCAUACUUGUUCAGUCUGUCACCAGUGUGUAUAUUUCACUGCAACAACUAAAAUACCAAAUUAAAUUUACUGUAUAUCCUUUCGCUCCUCUGAGAGGACCUGUCAGAUUUCUUAGCUAAGCGAAAAGUGACAAAAAAAAGCCCAGAUUUCAAAUUAAAAGAGUGAUUUUCUGCUGUAAUACAGGAAAAUCCACUUCUUAUCCCCCUGUUGAAGAAGAAAAGCCGGCUGCAAAUGAAAGAAUCUUCUCUUGAAACCAGGCACUGAGCCAAACACAAUGUCUGUUGGCGCCGCCAGCCUGAAGGAUUUUAGCUAUUUAUUUUUCUUCUUUUUAUGUUUGGCACACGGGAGACAAAGAAAGGAUUCAUUCAAGACCGGCAAAGGAGGUUGAGUUUUUAAAAUGUGGCAAUUAACCUGCGGCAGAAGAUAUAUAUUUUUUUUUUGGUGCGCGUUUUGGAUUUAUCAUGAAAAAAGGGCUUAAUUCUUCAGCUGCUGUUUGGUUUGCUUUGAUGGGGAAGGAAGGAGAUUGGAAAAACCUAAUUACAGAGAAGAUGACGGUGAGUUUUGCACAGAAGAAUUACGAUGAGGUAAACAACACAAAGUUUUACAGAGCAGUAACAGAAGAUCAGACAGAAAAAAAUCCCUUAGUUCAAACAUGCUGAUGAUAUGUCAGAAGUAGCUCUGAGAUCAUUAGAUCUUUCUACUGUAAAUAUUCAAUCAAUCACCUAUUUAUUGGAAACUUUAAUCAAAACUUUUGCAAGUUAAUCAGUAGUGAAAAUAUAAUUCUAACAUGUUGUAUAUUGCCAACAACCAAUGCAAAAGUGUAAGGUAAACUGAGGACACUUUUAUCUGCCUUGAUUAAUGAUGUUGUUUCUGUUUAGCGUUUAGCAUCUGUUACCACCUGCACUCACAGAUUGCACACCCUUGAGAGUCAAGACCCUGGCGUUCGAGACAGGUGACAUGAGGUCAAAGUGCACAUGUUCAUAGCAGGAGCGUCAUGCUCUUCGAGGUUCCCCCCUGUGCCCCUAUUUCCCAAUGAACAACUC